UACGUAGGGUGCGAGCGUUGUUCGGAAUCACUGGGCGUAAAGGGAGCGUAGGCGGGAUCGUAAGUUAGGAGUUUAAUGCAUGGGCUUAACCCAUGACCUGCUUUUAAUACUGCGAUUCUUGAGUAUGGGAGAGGGCGAUGGAAUUCCAGGUGUAGCGGUGGAAUGCGUAGAUAUCUGGAAGAACACCAGUAGCGAAGGCGGUCGCCUGGCCUAAUACUGACGCUGAGGCUCGAAAGCUAGGGGAGCAAAC
This 250-nucleotide ribosomal RNA is filed under the name uncultured bacterium. RNAcentral's name for it is "partial 16S ribosomal RNA". It matches the Rfam family "Bacterial small subunit ribosomal RNA", at positions 524 to 773 of the family's 1533-position model. The record is from RNAcentral.